CCUACGGGUGGCAGCAGUCGAGAAUCAUUCACAAUGGGGGAAACCCUGAUGGUGCGACGCCGCGUGGGGGAAUGAAGGUCUUCGGAUUGUAAACCCCUGUCAUGUGGGAGCAAAUUAAAAAGAUAGUACCACAAGAGGAAGAGACGGCUAACUCUGUGCCAGAAGCCGCGGUAAUACAGAGGUCUCAAGCGUUGUUCGGAAUCACUGGGCGUAAAGGGUGCGGAGGCUGUUUCGUAAGUCGUGUGUGAAAGGCGCGGGCUCAACCCGCGGACGGCACAUGAUACUGCGAGACUAGAGUAAUGGAGGGGGAACCGGAAUGCUCGGUGUAGCAGUGAAAUGCGUAGAUAUCGAGAGGAACACUCGUGGCGAAGGCGGGUUCCUGGACAUUAACUGACGCUGAGGCACGAAGGCCAGGGGAGCGAAAGGGAUUAGAUACCCUAGUAGUC
This 446-nucleotide ribosomal RNA is filed under the name uncultured bacterium. RNAcentral describes it as "partial 16S ribosomal RNA". It matches the Rfam family "Bacterial small subunit ribosomal RNA", at positions 338 to 795 of the family's 1533-position model. The record is from RNAcentral.